UACGGAGGGUGCGAGCGUUGUCCGGAAUCACUGGGUGUAAAGGGCGCGUAGGCGGUGCGAGAAGCGUGUGGUGAAAGGCCGGGGCUCAACCCCGGCUCGGCCGUGCGGACUCUCGCGCUUGGUGAGUGCUGUAGAGGCGGGCGGAAUUCCGGGUGUAGCGGUGGAAUGCGUAGAGAUCCGGAAGAACACCGGUGGCGAAGGCGGCCCGCUGGGCAGUGACUGACGCUGAGGCGCGGACAGCGUGGGGAGCAAACAGG
RNAcentral lists this ribosomal RNA (257 nucleotides) under uncultured bacterium. RNAcentral's name for it is "partial 16S ribosomal RNA". It matches the Rfam family "Bacterial small subunit ribosomal RNA", at positions 524 to 776 of the family's 1533-position model. The record is from RNAcentral.